CGAUUCUGGCUCAGGAUGAACGCUAGCUACAGGCUUAACACAUGCAAGUCGAGGGGCAGCAUUGGAGUAGCAAUACUCAGAUGGCGACCGGCGCACGGGUGAGUAACACGUAUCCAACCUGCCGCUUACUCGGGGAUAGCCUUUCGAAAGAAAGAUUAAUACCCGAUGGUAUAAAGAGUUCGCAUGUUCUCUUUAUUAAAGAAUUUCGGUAAGCGAUGGGGAUGCGUUCCAUUAGAUAGUUGGCGGGGUAACGGCCCACCAAGUCUACGAUGGAUAGGGGUUCUGAGAGGAAGGUCCCCCACAUUGGAACUGAGACACGGUCCAAACUCCUACGGGAGGCAGCAGUGAGGAAUAUUGGUCAAUGGACGAGAGUCUGAACCAGCCAAAGUAGCGUGAAGGAUGACUGCCCUAUGGGUUGUAAACUUCUUUUAUAAGGGAAUAAAGUGAGGGACGUGUCCCUUUUUGUAUGUACCUUAUGAAUAAGGAUCGGCUAACUCCGUGCCAGCCGCCGC
This 512-nucleotide ribosomal RNA is filed under the name uncultured bacterium. Its description in RNAcentral is "bacterial SSU rRNA". It matches the Rfam family "Bacterial small subunit ribosomal RNA", at positions 14 to 518 of the family's 1533-position model. The record is from RNAcentral.